This 57-nucleotide transfer RNA is filed under the name Loa loa (African eye worm). RNAcentral describes it as "tRNA-Asp". Lineage: Eukaryota; Metazoa; Nematoda; Chromadorea; Rhabditida; Onchocercidae. The record is from RNAcentral.
AGAGAUUUAGUAUAAUUUUUGUAUAAUUCGUUGUCUGCGAUUUGGUUUUGGUCUUUU